This 465-nucleotide ribosomal RNA is filed under the name Vreelandella stevensii. RNAcentral describes it as "partial 16S ribosomal RNA". It matches the Rfam family "Bacterial small subunit ribosomal RNA", at positions 338 to 795 of the family's 1533-position model. The record is from RNAcentral. Lineage: Bacteria; Pseudomonadati; Pseudomonadota; Gammaproteobacteria; Oceanospirillales; Halomonadaceae.
CCUACGGGAGGCAGCAGUGGGGAAUAUUGGACAAUGGGCGAAAGCCUGAUCCAGCCAUGCCGCGUGUGUGAAGAAGGCCUUCGGGUUGUAAAGCACUUUCAGUGGGGAAGAAAGCCUUGGGGCUAAUACCCUCGAGGAAGGACAUCACCCACAGAAGAAGCACCGGCUAACUCCGUGCCAGCAGCCGCGGUAAUACGGAGGGUGCGAGCGUUAAUCGGAAUUACUGGGCGUAAAGCGCGCGUAGGCGGUCUGAUAAGCCGGUUGUGAAAGCCCCGGGCUCAACCUGGGAACGGCAUCCGGAACUGUCAGGCUAGAGUGCAGGAGAGGAAGGUAGAAUUCCCGGUGUAGCGGUGAAAUGCGUAGAGAUCGGGAGGAAUACCAGUGGCGAAGGCGUCCUUCUGGACUGACACUGACGCUGAGGUGCGAAAGCGUGGGUAGCAAACAGGAUUAGAUACCCGGGUAGUC